GUGAACGCUGGCGGUAGGCCUAACACAUGCAAGUCGAACGGCAGCACCGUAAGAGCUUGCUCUUACGGGUGGCGAGUGGCGGACGGGUGAGGAAUACAUCGGAAUCUACUUUUUCGUGGGGGAUUACGUAGGGAAACUUACGCUAAUACCGCAUACGACCUACGGGUGAAAGCAGGGGAUCUUCGGACCUUGCGCGAUUGAAUGAGCCGAUGUCGGAUUAGCUAGUUGGCGGGGUAAAGGCCCACCGUGGCGACGAUCCGUAGCUGGUCUGAGAGGAUGAUCAGCCACACUGGAACUGAGACACGGUCCAGACUCCUACGGGAGGCAGCAGUGGGGAAUAUUGGACAAUGGGCGAAAGCCUGAUCCAGCCAUACCGCGUGAGUGAAGAAGGCCUUCGGGUUGUAAAGCCCUUUUGUUGGGAAAGAAAAGCAGCAGGUUAAUACCCCGCUGUUCUGACGGUACCCAAAGAAUAAGCACCGGCUAACUUCGUG
RNAcentral lists this ribosomal RNA (491 nucleotides) under uncultured bacterium. RNAcentral's name for it is "partial 16S ribosomal RNA". It matches the Rfam family "Bacterial small subunit ribosomal RNA", at positions 29 to 507 of the family's 1533-position model. The record is from RNAcentral.